CGGCCGAUGUCUGAUUAGCUAGUUGGUGGGGUAAAGGCCCACCAAGGCGACGAUCAGUAGCUGGUCUGAGAGGACGAUCAGCCACACUGGGACUGAGACACGGCCCAGACUCCUACGGGAGGCAGCAGUGGGGAAUUUUGGACAAUGGGGGCAACCCUGAUCCAGCAAUGCCGCGUGUGUGAAGAAGGCCUUCGGGUUGUAAAGCACUUUUGUCCGGAAAGUGACGGUACCGGAAGAAUAAGCACCGGCUAACUACGUGCCAGCAGCCGCGGUAAUACGUAGGGUGCGAGCGUUAAUCGGAAUUACUGGGCGUAAAGCGUGCGCAGGCGGUUUUGUAAGACAGGCGUGAAAUCCCCGGGCUUAACCUGGGAAUUGCGCUUGUGACUGCAAGGCUAGAGUGCGUCAGAGGGGGGUAGAAUUCCACGUGUAGCAGUGAAAUGCGUAGAG
RNAcentral lists this ribosomal RNA (447 nucleotides) under uncultured bacterium. RNAcentral describes it as "bacterial SSU rRNA". It matches the Rfam family "Bacterial small subunit ribosomal RNA", at positions 227 to 695 of the family's 1533-position model. The record is from RNAcentral.